Molecule: ribosomal RNA, 439 nt
Filed under: uncultured bacterium
Lineage: Bacteria
Description: partial 16S ribosomal RNA
Rfam family: Bacterial small subunit ribosomal RNA
Source: RNAcentral
CUACGGGCUGCUCCAGUGGGGAAUAUUGCACAAUGGGCGAAAGCCUGAUGCAGCAACGCCGCGUGGAGGAUGACACAUUUCGGUGCGUAAACUCCUUUUAUAUAAGAAGAUAAUGACGGUAUUAUAUGAAUAAGCACCGGCUAACUCCGUGCCAGCAGCCGCGGUAAUACGGGGGGUGCAAGCGUUACUCGGAACCACUGGGCGUAAAGAGCAUGUAGGCUGGAUGACAAGUUGGAAGUGAAAUCCUAUGGCUUAACCAUAGAACUGCUUCCAAAACUGUCUUCCUAGAGUAUGGGAGAGGUAGAUGGAAUUUCUGGUGUAGGGGUAAAAUCCGUAGAGAUCAGAAGGAAUACCGAUUGCGAAGGCGAUCUACUGGAACAUUACUGACGCUCAGAUGCGAAAGCGUGGGGAGCAAACAGGAUUAGAUACCCGGGUAGUC